RNAcentral lists this unclassified non-coding RNA (3027 nucleotides) under Venturia canescens. Its description in RNAcentral is "transcription factor SOX-2-like, transcript variant X1". The record is from RNAcentral. Lineage: Eukaryota; Metazoa; Arthropoda; Insecta; Hymenoptera; Ichneumonidae.
AAGCGAAACCCACAAAUGCUCAGACGGUUCCGUUCUUCUGAAGAGAGUGGAGGUACCUUAACACGGCUCGCUCGCUCGACAAAAAGAAAAAACGUGCGCGUGCCCGUUAUUCACUGAUGGUCAUCCCAGUUACAUCGACACGAUUCUCGGGAGAAAGGAAAUUCUUAUUGUUUAUCCUGUUCGGUGGUUUGAAACAAGCGACAAAAGUGAACCCAUUGUUAAUCGUGUUAAUAAUAAAUAAUCAUACCAAUAUAUAAAUACAUUCAUUUGUGAAUAGCUAUGUAUAUACCAGUGAAUCGUCGAUAACACGAAACAUUACCGAUUAUUAGAACGAGUAAACACUGCGUAGGUUGUGAUUUUCCUUGUGUGUUGUUUCGCGUACGCGCUCAACGAUAUCGGUUGGUAGCUUAUUUUGUACUGUGGAUAUAAACUUUCGAUAGCCUUUCGUUAACGAAUAAGAAGAAAAAAAAAAAAAAAAAAAAGAAACAGUACCAGGAUCUGCGCGACUUUUAUUGUGUUUUCGUAAAUGUAACGGCGUGUCGUUCGAGACAUUUGAGAAUCGAUUGAUCGAACGCCGGUUAUACUCGAGUUUAAUUACGGGUGUCCGUCGCGACGUGACGCGUGAAUCAAAAGGUUGCAUCGACGAAACUGUGCAGUCUUGAAACUAGCAGUGGCCGCGCGGUUAGAAAAGCCGAGAUAAUAUCAAGUGUGAUCAGUGCAUCCAGUUUUGGAGCGGAGCUAGUGACGUAUAUAAGCUUAUUCCGUUUUUAAUUGUACUCGAGUCGGAUGAAGAAGCGAUCAGAGGGACAAUCAACGGUCGAUGAAAAAUAAAUCGGUUGUGAUGUUUGCGAGCGAAACAUCCCGUACGAGCGUAAUCUUAAUUAUCGGGUGAGUCGCGAGAUCCGGCUUUCGUCGCAAGGGCUAAAAGAAAGCAGGUAUAGCCGUGUGCGUGUAUGUGCGUGCGUGCGCGGCAUUGAGACACGGUGGUUCGGCCUUGAGCGACUCGAUAACCGAUAACGUCCGUUAUUUUCCCUGGCGACGAGUUCAUACAAAAGGGCGGCAAGCUGUUCGGGCACAGGGAGGAGGAUAUGCUAACGAUGGAUACGGAGUUGAAAGGCAGCAGCAUGCACGGCCAAAUGCCUCCACAUCCUCAUCAAGGUGUAGCACCGAUGGGCCAUCACGCGGGUGUAUCGCCUUACGGGCCACUUGGCUCGAUAGUACAUAGUCCGGCUCUUUCCGGAAGUCCUCCGAGCUCCGGAGGUCUCGGUGGUCUCAGCCUGCAGCACCAUCAUCAGGCGGCCGCCCAACAGCAUCAUUACGCCUCGAUGCAGGUUGCCCAACAACAGCAACAGCAGCAACAACAUCAAACGAUGCACGCAUUGGCCUCGCAGCAACAGGCUGCCGCGGCUGCCCAGCAUCAUUCUCAUCAGCAGCAACAGCAACAACAGCAUUCCCAGCAGCAACAGCAGCAGCAGCAGCAGCAGGCCCAACAACAACAGGCGCAGCAACAACAGCAUCAGCCACCAAACAACAACAAUAAUACGAGUAAGAACAACAACAUCGAUCGGGUGAAGAGGCCGAUGAACGCUUUCAUGGUGUGGUCGAGAGGUCAACGUCGUAAGAUGGCCCAGGAGAAUCCAAAGAUGCACAAUUCCGAGAUAUCGAAGAGACUCGGAGCGGAGUGGAAGCUGCUCAGCGAAACGGAGAAACGUCCGUUCAUCGAUGAGGCCAAAAGGCUGCGAGCGGUCCACAUGAAGGAACAUCCCGAUUACAAGUACCGGCCACGAAGGAAGACAAAGACUCUUUUGAAGAAGGACAAAUUCCCGUUGGGCGGUGGUGUUACCGGAGUCGGUGGCAUGCUAGGAGUCGAUCAACGCCAAGUCAGCUCCGCCGGUGGACCCCAACAGUCUCAACUGCCCCGGGACGUUUAUCAAAUGCCGAAUGGAUACAUGCCGAACGGUUACAUGAUGCACGACCCGACGGCCGCGGCUUAUCAACAACACGCUUACGGCGGACACAUGGGUGCCGCUGCGGCUGCAGUCGCCGCUGCCGGAUAUCCUCGCUACGACAUGGGCCACCAUAUGGGGGGAGGCAGUCCAAGUCCCAUAAACAGCUACAUGAACGGUUACGGUGGUUACGGGGCGACAACGAUACCCGGAGGUUCACCCUCGCCUUAUCAUCAGGCCCAACCCGGCUCUCAAAUGUCCAGUCAUAGCCCAAGCGGUAGCAGCGUCAAAUCCGAACCUACGAGUCCGGCGAGCGGCGGUUUGCACACGCCGACACCCAGCGGCGGUUCCUCCGGUGGAAGUGGCGGUGGCGGCGUUAAUUCCGCCGGACCUGUAUCCAAUAUCAAAAGGGAAUACAUGGGACAACACAGCCAACAACCACAGGGUGAUCUCAGACAAAUGAUCUCGAUGUACCUGCCCCAGGGAGGUGAACAGGGCGUCGUACAGCACGGUGCUGGUGUUUACUCACCAGGACCAUCCCCCGAUUCGUUGGCUCAACAUCAUUCUGCCAUUCCACAACUCGCCCACAUGUCGGAAAGUGAUCGCAAAAUGUUGAAUCCUGAGACCGGUUGUUAUUCAGAAUCCGUUCGCGCAUGGGACUGGAGCGCAACGGGCAACGUUCGCGUCCAAGAGUCCUGGCCAACGUGAGCGCAUGUAGGCACCGUAGGAGAUUUCAAAAACCUCUCUUUCACUAUCCAACAAUUCCACAGCCAUAAGGAUCGGGCACCUUGAUCGUUUCGCGCAGCACGAUAACCUGUGCUCACGUGCCAAUGACAAUCCGCAAGCUGCCCCCAUCAUGCGUGUGUGAUAUACUGCCCAAUAUUUCCCCUUCCAAAUUCACGCGGAACAAAAGAAAAAAAAUACAGUUAUACGAAAAAGCGAACAAAAUAUGUAUAAUUAAGCGUGUUUUAAUAAGGUUUUUAUGUAGGUCCUACGAGUAAGGUGUAUAUUAUAAAUAAAACAAAACAAAAAUAUAAGUGUUAAAUAAACGAACCUCUCGUUAAUGGAGGAUUCAUCAUUA